RNAcentral lists this ribosomal RNA (208 nucleotides) under uncultured bacterium. Its description in RNAcentral is "partial 16S ribosomal RNA". It matches the Rfam family "Bacterial small subunit ribosomal RNA", at positions 568 to 774 of the family's 1533-position model. The record is from RNAcentral.
CACGUAGGCGGAUUAGUCAGUCAGAGGUGAAAUCCCAGGGCUCAACCCUGGAACUGCCUUUGAUACUGCUAGUCUUGAGUUCGAGAGAGGUGAGUGGAAUUCCGAGUGUAGAGGUGAAAUUCGUAGAUAUUCGGAGGAACACCAGUGGCGAAGGCGGCUCACUGGCUCGAUACUGACGCUGAGGUGCGAAAGCGGUGGGGAGCAAACA